This 465-nucleotide ribosomal RNA is filed under the name uncultured bacterium. Its description in RNAcentral is "partial 16S ribosomal RNA". It matches the Rfam family "Bacterial small subunit ribosomal RNA", at positions 338 to 795 of the family's 1533-position model. The record is from RNAcentral.
CCUACGGGCGGCAGCAGUAGGGAAUCUUCCACAAUGGGCGAAAGCCUGAUGGAGCAACGCCGCGUGGGUGAAGAAGGUCUUCGGAUCGUAAAACCCUGUUGUUAGAGAAGAAAGGUCGUGAGAGUAACUGUUCACGUUUCGACGGUAUCUAACCAGAAAGCCACGGCUAACUACGUGCCAGCAGCCGCGGUAAUACGUAGGUGGCAAGCGUUAUCCGGAUUUAUUGGGCGUAAAGGGAACGCAGGCGGUCUUUUAAGUCUGAUGUGAAAGCCUUCGGCUUAACCGGAGUAGUGCAUUGGAAACUGGGAGACUUGAGUGCAGAAGAGGAGAGUGGAACUCCAUGUGUAGCGGUGAAAUGCGUAGAUAUAUGGAAGAACACCAGUGGCGAAAGCGGCUCUCUGGACUGUAACUGACGUUGAGGCUCGAAAGCGUGGGGAGCAAACAGGAUUAGAUACCCGUGUAGUC